This 664-nucleotide ribosomal RNA is filed under the name uncultured bacterium. Its description in RNAcentral is "bacterial SSU rRNA". It matches the Rfam family "Bacterial small subunit ribosomal RNA", at positions 65 to 720 of the family's 1533-position model. The record is from RNAcentral.
AGGGGCAGCAUAAUAAGUAGCAAUACUUAUGAUGGCGACCGGCGCACGGGUGAGUAACGCGUAUGCAACCUACCUUUAACAGGGGGAUAAUCUGAAGAAAUUCGGUCUAAUACCCCAUAAUAUUAACUGAGGCAUCUUGGUUAAUUGAAAGUUCCGGCGGUUAAAGAUGGGCAUGCGUUGUAUUAGCAAGAUGGUGAGGUAACGGCUCACCAUUGCUACGAUACAUAGGGGGACUGAGAGGUUAACCCCCCACACUGGUACUGAGACACGGACCAGACUCCUACGGGAGGCAGCAGUGAGGAAUAUUGGUCAAUGGACGCAAGUCUGAACCAGCCAUGCCGCGUGCAGGAUGACGGCUCUAUGAGUUGUAAACUGCUUUUGUACGAGGGUAACCGCAGAUACGUGUAUCUGUCUGAAAGUAUCGUACGAAUAAGGAUCGGCUAACUCCGUGCCAGCAGCCGCGGUAAUACGGAGGAUCCGAGCGUUAUCCGGAUUUAUUGGGUUUAAAGGGUGCGUAGGCUGUUUGGUAAGUUAGAGGUGAAAUCUCGACGCUCAACGUCGAAACUGCCUCUGAUACUGCCGAGCUAGAGUACAGUUGCUGUGGGCGGAAUGAGUAGUGUAGCGGUGAAAUGCUUAGAUAUUACUCGGAACACCGAUUGCGAAG